This 1041-nucleotide long non-coding RNA is filed under the name Callithrix jacchus (white-tufted-ear marmoset). Its description in RNAcentral is "lncRNA (ENSCJAG00000074291.1)". Lineage: Eukaryota; Metazoa; Chordata; Mammalia; Primates; Cebidae. The record is from RNAcentral.
AUAGAUUCUCAGGCCUUUGGCCUUGGAUUGAGACUGAUGCUAUUGGCUUCCCUGGUUCUCAGGCCUUUGGACUCAGAAUGUACCAUGUUUCUGGCUUUCCUUGUUCUCCAGCUUGCAGGUGGCCUGGCCUGAGGUUUCUCAGCUUCUAUAACCACAUGAGUCAAUUCCUCUAAUAAACUGCCUCUGAUUUAUCUAUCUCUAUGAAUCCUAUUGGUUAUGUUUCUCUGAAAAAUACUGGCUAAUACAGUCUACAACUUGUGUGACAUUCCUUCCCUGACAAAUAAAGUACAGUCUAAUAAAAACUAUGCAUUCCCAGAACACCUGAAUCAGAAUAUACACUUUGACGUUGCCAGUUAUAAAGAUUGUCUAUAGAGUUGAAGAAGCACUGCUCAGGACAACUCUCCUCCUCUCUGAGGAACUCUGAGUGAUUUGUAGACAACACUGCUAUUCAUUUCUCUAGUGUGUGUGGGGGGGUCUAGCUCCCUGUUUUGAGGUAAACUUAGGUUCCUAAUGGCUUAGGAGGGGAAGGAGAGAUUCCAAUUCUUUAUACUUAUGCAUUUGGCCUUUGCACCACGGGAGGGAAUGCAGAUAAAUGCAGCUAUGGUAACAUGUUUGCUGAGUCCCUGAUUCUCCUUUCUGUUCAGUGCCUGCUCACUUCAACUUGGAAUAUCCACAUGGAUGGCAGCAUCUAUGGCUCACCUAUUUCCUGUGUACAUCCCUCUCUCAACUUAUCCAUCAUUCCAAUAUCUAUCAGGCACAUUCCACAGAUCGGGCCAUGUGUUGGGUGUUGAGGGACCCUAAGUGAAAGGACAUAGUUCUUGUGCUUGAGGACCUCACAGAUUAUUGAUGGACACAGACAGGCCAGUGUGUGAAACUCAGUCUUUGGCUUCUGAUCAGUCUACCAUGAUACUGACAACCUACCAGCUGGAGAGAAGUCUCUACAUGGGCUGUGCGAAAGAGAUUCAGAGGCGUGUACUGAAUUUCCCCAGUAAAUUGUCUAGUAUAAAGGAAGAUAAGCAUCCCUGCUGAAGAAGAGUGGAA